Molecule: ribosomal RNA, 500 nt
Filed under: uncultured bacterium
Lineage: Bacteria
Description: bacterial SSU rRNA
Rfam family: Bacterial small subunit ribosomal RNA
Source: RNAcentral
GAUGAACGCUAGCUACAGGCUUAACACAUGCAAGUCGAGGGGCAGCACAGUGUAGCAAUACAUGGGUGGCGACCGGCGCACGGGUGCGUAACGCGUAUCCAACCUUCCCGAUACUCAGGGAUAGCCUUCCGAAAGGGAGAUUAAUACCUGAUGGUGUUUCAAUUCCGCAUGUUAAUGAAACUAAAGAUUUAUCGGUAUCGGAUGGGGAUGCGUGACAUUAGAUAGUAGGCGGGGUAACGGCCCACCUAGUCUACGAUGUCUAGGGGUUCUGAGAGGAAGGUCCCCCANACUGGAACUGAGACACGGUCCAGACUCCUACGGGAGGCAGCAGUGAGGAAUAUUGGUCAAUGGUCGGAAGACUGAACCAGCCAAGUAGCGUGAAGGAUGAAGGUUCUAUGGAUUGUAAACUUCUUUUAUACGGGAAUAAAACCUUCCACGUGUGGGGGCUUGUAUGUACCGUAUGAAUAAGCAUCGGCUAACUCCGUGCCAGCAGCCGCGGU